CUACGGGAUGCACCAGUGAGGAAUAUUGCACAAUGGAGGAAACUCUGAUGCAGCAACGCCGCGUGGAGGAUGACGCAUUUCGGUGUGUAAACUCCUUUUAUAUGUCAAGAAAAUGACGGUAGCAUAUGAAUAAGCACCGGCUAACUCCGUGCCAGCAGCCGCGGUAAUACGGAGGGUGCAAGCGUUACUCGGAAUCACUGGGCGUAAAGGACGCGUAGGCGGGAUAUCAAGUCAGGUGUGAAAUCCUACAGCUUAACUGUAGAACUGCACUUGAAACUGGUAACCUAGAGUAUGGGAGGGGGAGAUGGAAUUAGUGGUGUAGGGGUAAAAUCCGUAGAUAUCACUAGGAAUACCUAAAGCGAGGGUGAUCUCCUGGAACAUAACUGACGCUAAGGCGUGAAAGCGUGGGGAGCAAACAGGAUUAGAUACCCGAGUAGUC
RNAcentral lists this ribosomal RNA (439 nucleotides) under uncultured bacterium. RNAcentral's name for it is "partial 16S ribosomal RNA". It matches the Rfam family "Bacterial small subunit ribosomal RNA", at positions 339 to 795 of the family's 1533-position model. The record is from RNAcentral.